This 4632-nucleotide long non-coding RNA is filed under the name Manihot esculenta (cassava). Its description in RNAcentral is "long non-coding RNA (MESC_LNC004801)". Lineage: Eukaryota; Viridiplantae; Streptophyta; Magnoliopsida; Malpighiales; Euphorbiaceae. The record is from RNAcentral.
AGAAGAAGAAGCAAGUAUUAAGCUUCCCAUUAAGGACAACCUAAUUUAAGCAAACCCAAAUGAGUAAAAGAAUAGAAUAAGCGAAGAACUGACUUACACUUUGAAGAAACCUGAAAAUCAGGUUCUGAUGCAGCAUAUCCCAGUAAGCACAAAGUAAAGCAACAAAUGAGAGGAGGAAGGAGACAAAAAAGCCACAAAUAAAAGUUGGGGGUUAAAGACAACAAGAAGCAUAAGUGUUAAACGUACAAUGGGUUGGGUUAUAAUCCUUUGGACCUUGGUACUAGCCAUGUUGAUGAGCUCUGGAGGAUUCCGGAGGCAAAGAGAAAGUUGAGUUGGAGAGAAGUGCAACCCUAGAACGAUUUGAGCCAAGAGGCAAAUUAGUCAUAUUUUUCUAACCAAAUAGAUUUUUUUUUAGCCAAACCAAAUAGAUAUUUUGUUUUGAGUAAUAUGCGGGGGGAUAAAUUACUCUAAGCUCUCUAUGGUUUGUUAAAAUUAGUUACACAAUACAUAUUUUAAAAAAAUAAUUAAAACAUUUAUUUUAAUUUUAACUACAGAAAUAACAUAAUAUAUAGCAAGCCUAGUCUGGUUUGAUCCAAUGGUAAAAAGAAAUAUUACUCACUUAGGAGACUCAGGCUCAAGUCUGAUACCCCCAAUCCCCUACUUAAAAAUAUAUAUAUAUAGAAAAAAUUACAGAUAUUAAAUAAUAAGAUUCUUAAAAUUACAACAGAUUAAAAGAUAUAAAUAUUAAAAACUAAAAAAAAAAUAUAAUUAAUAUGCCCUUAACAAAAUUAUUAAAGGAUUUGAUUUUAAAAGUAUCACUAUGUUUUAAUUGGGCUUUAAAAAGAUAACAACUAAUGAUUAAUUUUAGCACAAUAUAAAAAUGUGUCAAUAAUUUAUCCUGUGAACCAAAAAUGGCUAACAAAUUGAUAUGGACAAAUCACAGUUACAUUCUUUUUUUCCUUUUUUGAAUAAGUUAAGUUGUUGAAUAUUGGCUUAUUAAUAAUUUGAUUAUCUUAUUUUCUUUUUAAAAAAAAAAAUCAUAGCUUCUUUAUCACUUACAUAUAGAUCAUUUCAUUCCGUUCUUUUUUUUAAGGCUCCUUCUGUUUCCUAGGAAAUAUUUUUCAAGAAAAUGUUUUCUACAUUUGUUGGUAUUUGAGGCACUCAAAAAAAUUAGUCUCACAUAAAAUAUUUUUCUAGUUAAAAGAAAAAUUAACUUAUUUUACAGAAAAUGACUUCCUCUUUUGAGAAUCUUAUUAACACCUUUAUAUAUAAAAUUGUCAAUAUAUUUUAUUUUUUAAAUUAAUAAACAAUGAAAAAUAAGUCAUUUUAUUAGAAAUUUUUUCAAUGAAAACAUUUUCCACCGGAAAAUAUUUUUCAAAUGCAAGUUAUGUUCCACAAACAAACGGCGCCUUAAUUUUGCGAUUAGAAAACCCUAAAAAUAACAAAAGUGUUUUUACUUAAAAUUCCUAAAACCAUUUGAAUUCACAAAUAAAUGUUUGAUUAAUACAAGUGCCAGUAAAUACUUUGCAUACUGAAACCCAUAAAAUUCGGAUAGCUUCAUACAUUCGUCACUCUUUUUAAUUAUAAACAAAGAUUCACACAAACUUUAAGCACAAAACUGAACAGGAGCUGAGACAUAAAAGAACGAAAUAAAAGAAUAAAGUGAAGUUUUUGUAUUUGAUUGCCAAUCAUUUUUUGCAUGCUAUGGUAUCUAUUCAUGCAGUAAACCAAAGAGAUGUUACUGAGGAAAAGGACAGUUAGAAGGAAGAAUAAAUUUAAAAGUCACCUUCAUCAUGAAGGAAUGAAGACAUGAAGCUAAAGAAAAAUGUUUUAUAAAGCUCAUUUUUACAUUUAAGUCAUUACUUUUCAUCCAUUUUCUCAAAGCAUUUUUUUAUUUCUAUCUUUCUUCUUUUCAAAUCACACUCUAAGAAAACAGAUUUUUUGUGGGGAAAGUUUUCCACAUUAUAUCUUGAAUUACACCACUAUAAAAAUUUGUAGUGAAUAUAAAAUUAGUCACAACGUUGCCAUUAGAAGUGUGAAACAAAAGAUCACAGUGGUGAAAUUAUUUCACCACAAAAGCUAUAUUUUCUAUGGGGAAAUAUGAUCCAUUAAAAAUAUAGUUUAUUAGAGAAAAGUUUUCCCACUAAAAAUAAAACUUUUGCAGCGAAAAUCUUCCCCACUAAAAGAUAUGACUUUUGCAGCAAAACUUUUCUUCAUUAAAAGUUUGUCGAUUUGUGGGAAAUUUUUCCCCACUAAAGCAUAUCAUUAUAAUAAAAUAGUUACAAUUGAUUUAGUCAUAGGAGUUUGCUUACAUAUAAUUUAGUAGUUGCCUAUUUAUUAAUACUCAUUUUAUUAAAUCAAUUGAUUAAUAUGAGAAAUAAUAGAUCACCUUAAAAGUAUAUGGUUUCCAUUAUAAAAGAUAUGGAUAUUAAUGUACAAAGAUUUGGGACGACUCCAACCCCUGACUAUAAAAGAUCUCAAUAUGAGGGUUACAAUGAUUCAGUUGAGUUUUGAGUCAACAAUAGCACCUCUAUGGAUGCACUAGUUCUGAUGUGAUAACCAUCUGUCAGAAGUUGACAUUCAGAAUAGACAAAAGCAAGAAAAUUCUCUUAGAACAAUGAGUAAUAUUCUGGCCUCCACCUCUGUUUGUCUUGUCCAGAUGUUCAAACAGAAGCAUUUGUCAAUAUGAAAUACACCAACUUCCAUGCACAUAGUCCAAAAAAUAAAUGAUGCUUUAGGUUCAUUAGUUAGCUAUUGUGUUAAGCGUAAUUGCCCCAAAAAACAAGUGAGCAAAGACAGCUUUCUUAGAAUCUAUGUUUUGGAUUUUUACAAGGUUCCUUUUAACUUCAUCUAUAUUUUAUAGUCAUUUCUUAUUUGUUUUCUUUUGCAUCGAAUUGGAACCUGCAGGUUCAAGUUUUUGCUCUUUCUCAUUGGUAAUCAACUCAUUUUUCAUACUUUUCAUUGAAUUUGCUGUCUUUCAAGUAAAGAAUCCAUGUUAAUCUCAUCAGAAAUGGUAAAUAAAACAUGUCAAGCUCCAAUGGGAUUUUGGCAUUAUCAAUUUAACCAUCAAACUGAAAAAAGAAAAAUCAAAAGGAAUUUUCUUGAUCUAAGACUAUAUAGACACAUGGGUACCUAUUACCUAAACUAAUCUUGUGUUCCUAAACUGAUAAAUUUUGAAUUAAAAAAAAAUCAAAACCAUGGAAUAAUGUGUGUUUUAUAGAUCAUUGUAAUUCAAGGGUGGAUGUUAUUUUUUUGUAAUUGACAGUCAAAAGAAUAUAAUUAUAAUAAAUUGAACUCAAAUAAUUUCAUAAAUCAAUGAAGCAUGUCUGUCAGAUUUGUUUAAAAAUUGUACCACUUCAAAAAUUCAACAUAUCAAUAUAAAUAUAAAUAUAUUAAUUAGGAUAAUAAGAUAAAAUAGAAGUUGCAAUUGCUUACUUAUUGGAACCAGAAUAUUUAGACUUACUAUGAGGCUGGAGAUUAAAGUAGCAGAUGUGUCGAAAACAACUAAUCUGAGAGUUUCUUGAUCCCCCAAAUGCAGACACUAGCUAACAAUUAUAUUAUUAAAUCCACAUGAUUCCAUUGCUACAUGGAACUUUUGUUCCUGGUGCACACCAGGAACUGGUGUCAGUUCCUGGUAUGCACCAGGAAUUAGAAACUGAGACCAGUUCCUGAUGCACGAUCAGGGACUGAUAUCAUUCCCUGGUAUCCACCAAGAACUGAGAUUCAGUUCCUGGUCCAUACCAGUUUUCUAUACACAGAUUUGGUGAUACAAGUUUUUAGACAUACAUAUUGAAGGCAAAUUUACUUGGCACUUUGACAAUCAGCUCAUAGGAUUUUACUACUUAGGAGUAGAAAUAAAUGUGGGAAUUUUUCUUAAUGUUAUCCUCUAUCUACAGCUAGACAAAAAAUAAAUAAGAAAAUGAAAAAUAAAAAGUAUAAUGGGUGCCUUUACACUAUCUCAACUGUCAAUAAUCAUAUACCUAAUCAUUUGAUAGUCUUUAAAACUGUGUAUUCCUUCUGUAUAGAACUAUAUCAGCAGCUUGUAAGUGGGAUUUCUUCACUCUCUCCGUUAUCUUCGAUUCAUGAAUUUAGAAUGACAAUAAUUUCAGUUCCACCAGGAACUGCUCUAACAAUCCAUCACUUAGGGGACAUUGAGAAUUAUUCAAAAACAAUUGGGGGCUACGAGAAUCCAUCACCCCUAAGAUUAUUGAGCUAAAAUAAAAUAUCGAAAAUCAAACCCACAAUAUAUUGUGCCUCCAACCUUAUCGAGCAUUAUAGGUUCUUUUGAACUUUAUAGAAAAUCAAAACAAGACCUCCAACAGUGAAUUUCAUUAAUCUUCCAACAGUCAUUGGUUUGUUAACAUCAUCUAUGGACAAAUUCUCACAACAAAUAAAAGAAAAAUAGAAGUGAGAUAUCAAACCUGGUUGCAAUCGGGCGAAGGAAGAAGAAUGGGCGCCGCAGGUCCUCCAAGAUCAACUACUCGUCAAUCUGGUGUUUGGGGCGAUGGAGAUUGUGCUUUACCAACAAGCAAUAUAGAGAGUGGAGAGGAACUUGACUCGCACGAUAUGGUCCUCCAAACCUUCGUUUUCAGUUCAAGACCCGAGUAACUUCAAUUUAUUUAUUUAUUUUUC